GUCUUCGUAGCUCAGUUGGUAGAGCAAUUGACUCUUAAUCAAUGGGUCCAGGGUUCGAGCCCCUGCGAGGACACC
Molecule: transfer RNA, 75 nt
Filed under: Bacteroidia bacterium
Lineage: Bacteria; Pseudomonadati; Bacteroidota; Bacteroidia
Description: tRNA-Lys
Rfam family: tRNA
About the family: Transfer RNA (tRNA) molecules are approximately 80 nucleotides in length. Their secondary structure includes four short double-helical elements and three loops (D, anti-codon, and T loops).
Source: RNAcentral